This 560-nucleotide ribosomal RNA is filed under the name Phalium sp. MNHN-IM-2009-15913. Its description in RNAcentral is "partial 12S ribosomal RNA". Lineage: Eukaryota; Metazoa; Mollusca; Gastropoda; Littorinimorpha; Cassidae. The record is from RNAcentral.
AGAGGUCAAAUUAUAUCUCAUAGGUAAAAAGGCAGUUAAGCGUUAAAGAAUUAAUAUAUCUAUUAAUAUUAAUACUGUUUAUUUAGAAGUAAAAUUUAUAUAUAAACACAUAUUUUAAUAAAAAUUAAUAAAGUUGAACCUGCGAAAUCCUUGAGGGAAACUGGGAUUAGAUACCCCAUUAUUCUUGGUUAUAAAUGGAUGAAAAUCUACCAGAGUACUACGAAUUAAAUAUUAAGAUUUAAAACUCAAAGAGCUUGGCGGUGUUUUAGACCCUUCAGGGGAACCUGUCUCAUAAUCGACAGUCCACGUUAAACCUAACCUUUUUUUGUAAAACAGUCUGUAUACCGUCGUCGUCAGGUAACUUUUUAGAAUAUAGAAGUUGGCAAUAAAAUUUAUAUUAAAUUUAAACGUCAGAUCAAGGUGCAGCUUAUAAAAAGGUGAGGAUGGGUUACAAUUAAAAGUCAUAAUAUGGAAAAAAUAGUGAAAAUUCUAUUUUGAUAAAGAGGACUUGAAAGUAAAAAAAACUAUACGAAUAGUUUGAAUUUGGCUCUGAAACAUGC